CCAACAAUCACUAACUCUCUCCCUCAAAGGCUAUUCUGGUAUAUGGAUAUGCAAAUCCUUGUUAGUUGUUACUUGGAGUAGCCGUUGAGGUGAGAGCGUUAUAGAAUGUUGG
Non-coding RNA from Gossypium raimondii (Peruvian cotton), 112 nucleotides. Lineage: Eukaryota; Viridiplantae; Streptophyta; Magnoliopsida; Malvales; Malvaceae. The record is from Rfam.